This 925-nucleotide ribosomal RNA is filed under the name uncultured bacterium. Its description in RNAcentral is "bacterial SSU rRNA". It matches the Rfam family "Bacterial small subunit ribosomal RNA", at positions 33 to 940 of the family's 1533-position model. The record is from RNAcentral.
ACGCUGGCGGCGUGCCUAAUACAUGCAAGUAGAACGCUGAAGAGAGGAGCUUGCUCUUCUUGGAUGAGUUGCGAACGGGUGAGUAACGCGUAGGUAACCUGCCUUGUAGCGGGGGAUAACUAUUGGAAACGAUAGCUAAUACCGCAUAACAAUGGAUGACACAUGUCAUUUAUUUGAAAGGGGCAAUUGCUCCACUACAAGAUGGGCCUGCGUUGUAUUAGCUAGUAGGUGAGGUAACGGCUCACCUAGGCGACGAUACAUAGCCGACCUGAGAGGGUGAUCGGCCACACUGGGACUGAGACACGGCCCAGACUCCUACGGGAGGCAGCAGUAGGGAAUCUUCGGCAAUGGGGGCAACCCUGACCGAGCAACGCCGCGUGAGUGAAGAAGGUUUUCGGAUCGUAAAGCUCUGUUGUAAGUCAAGAACGAGUGUGAGAGUGGAAAGUUCACACUGUGACGGUAGCUUACCAGAAAGGGACGGCUAACUACGUGCCAGCAGCCGCGGUAAUACGUAGGUCCCGAGCGUUGUCCGGAUUUAUUGGGCGUAAAGCGAGCGCAGGCGGUUUGAUAAGUCUGAAGUUAAAGGCUGUGGCUCAACCAUAGUUCGCUUUGGAAACUGUCAAACUUGAGUGCAGAAGGGGAGAGUGGGAUUCCAUGUGUAGCGGUGAAAUGCGUAGAUAUAUGGAGGAACACCGGUGGCGAAAGCGGCUCUCUGGUCUGUAACUGACGCUGAGGCUCGAAAGCGUGGGGAGCGAACAGGAUUAGAUACCCUGGUAGUCCACGCCGUAAACGAUGAGUGCUAGGUGUUGGAUCCUUUCCGGGAUUCAGUGCCGCAGCUAACGCAUUAAGCACUCCGCCUGGGGAGUACGACCGCAAGGUUGAAACUCAAAGGAAUUGACGGGGGCCCGCACAAGCGGUGGAGCAU